AGAAGAGUAAACUAAUGGAAAGUUAUUUGGCUCAUGACCAGAAUAUAAGGGUUCGAUUCCUUUCUCUUUAU
This is a non-coding RNA of Hydra vulgaris (swiftwater hydra), 71 nucleotides long. Lineage: Eukaryota; Metazoa; Cnidaria; Hydrozoa; Anthoathecata; Hydridae. The record is from the annotation of a RefSeq genome assembly.